Molecule: ribosomal RNA, 2124 nt
Filed under: metagenome
Description: bacterial LSU rRNA
Rfam family: Bacterial large subunit ribosomal RNA
Source: RNAcentral
AGUACUGUGAAGGAAAGGUGAAAAGGACCCCGGGAGGGGAGUGAAAGAGAACCUGAAACCCUGUGUUUACAAGCUGUGGGACAUCUUUACAUGAUGAACCGCGUACUUUUUGUAGAACGGUCCGGCGAGUUGCGGAUGCCGGCAAGGUUAAGCACUUAAGGUGUGGAGCCGAAGGGAAACCAAGUCUGAAGAGGGCGCAUAUAGUCAGUAUCCGCAGACCCGAAACCGGGUGAUCUACCCAUGUCCAGGUUGAAGUUGCCGUAAAAGGCAAUGGAGGACCGAACGCACAUCCGUUGAAAAGGGUGGCGAUGAGGUGUGGGUAGGGGAGAAAUUCCAAUCGAACCCGGAGAUAGCUGGUUCUCCUCGAAAUAGCUUUAGGGCUAGCCUCGUUUUAGUCUUAUGGAGGUAGAGCACUGAAUUUCCGCGGGGGCGUCAAAGCUUACCAAAGAAUAUCAAACUCCGAAUGCCAUGUAGAUGAUGAACGGGAGUCAGACUGCACGAGAUAAGUUGGGCAGUCAAAAGGGAAAGAGCCCAGACCUACAGCUAAGGUCCCAAAGUGUGUGUUAAGUGGAAAAGGAUGUGGGAUUUCAAAGACAACUAGGAUGUUGGCUCAGAAGCAGCCACACAUUCAAAGAGUGCGUAAUAGCUCACUAGUCGAGAGGUCCUGCGCCGAAAAUGUCCGGGGCUGAAACACAACACCGAAGCUUAGGAAUGUAUGUAAGUACAUUGGUAGAGGAGCAUUCUUAGUGCGGAGAAGCGGUACCGAUAAGGAGCCGUGGAGCGUUAAGAAGAGAGAAUGCCGGAAUGAGUAGCGAGAUGGAGGUGGGAAUCCUCCAGGCCGAAUAUCCAAGGUUUCCAGAGUAAAGCUGAUCUGCUCUGGGUAAGUCGGGGCCUAAGGCGAGGUCAAAAGACGUAGCCGAUGGACAACAGGUUUAGAUUCCUGUACCGCAUAUAAACAGAACUGUGGGGACGCAUGGGGAGAGCAUGGGCCGGGAAUGGAAAUACCGGUGCAAGCGAAGGAGGUGUGCAGCCGGCAAAUCCGCUGCAUGAGCCGAAAGCGUGACGCGGAGCGAAAUGAAAGUAGCGAAGCAUGUGAGCCCUGUGCCGAGAAAAGCCGCUAUAGCUUUAUAUGUGCCCGUACCGUAAACCGACACAGGUGGAUGAGGAGAGAAUCCUAAGGCCGGCGGAAGAAGCAUUGUUAAGGAACUCGGCAAAAUGACCCCGUAACUUCGGGAGAAGGGGUGCCACAGAGAUGUGGCCGCAGAGAAUAGGCUCAAGCAACUGUUUAGCAAAAACACAGGUCUAUGCGAAACCGAAAGGUGAAGUAUAUGGGCUGACGCCUGCCCGGUGCUGGAAGGUUAAGAGGAGAGGUUAGCGCAAGCGAAGCUUUGAAUUUAAGCCCCAGUAAACGGCGGCCGUAACUAUAACGGUCCUAAGGUAGCGAAAUUCCUUGUCGGGUAAGUUCCGACCCGCACGAAAGGCGUAAUGAUUUGAGCGCUGUCUCAACAAUGCACCCGGUGAAAUUGAAAUACCAGUGAAGAUGCUGGUUACCUGCGCCAGGACGGAAAGACCCCAUGGAGCUUUACUCCAGUUUGAUACUGGGAUUCGGUAUUGCAUGUACAGGAUAGGUGGGAGGCUUUGAAACAUGGACGCCAGUCUGUGUGGAGCCAAUGUUGGGAUACCACCCUUGCGAUAUUGGGUUUCUAACCUGCGCCCGUGACCCGGGCGGGGGACAAUGUCAGGCGGGGAGUUUGACUGGGGCGGUCGCCUCCGAAAGGGUAUCGGAGGCGCUCAAAGGUUCCCUCAGAAUGGUCGGAAACCAUUUGAAGAGUGCAAAGGCAGAAGGGAGCUUGACUGCGACACCGACGGGUGGAGCAGGUACGAAAGUAGGACUUAGUGAUCCGGUGGUAUGAAAGUGGGAUUGCCAUCGCUCAACGGAUAAAAGCUACCCUGGGGAUAACAGGCUUAUCACUCCCAAGAGUUCACAUCGACGGAGUGGUUUGGCACCUCGAUGUCGGCUCAUCGCAUCCUGGGGCUGUAGCAGGUCCCAAGGGUUGGGCUGUUCGCCCAUUAAAGCGGUACGCGAGCUGGGUUCAGAACGUCGUGAGACAGUUCGGUCCCUAU